UGAGCGGAGAUAUAUGGAGCUUGCUUUAUAUAACUUAGCAGCGAACGGGUGAGUAACACGUAGAUAAUCUAUCCUAUACUGGGGGAUAGCCCGAUGAAAGUUGGAUUAAUACCGCAUAUAGCUAUAUAGUUGCAUGAUUAUGUAGUGAAAGAUUUAUUGGUAUAGGAGGAGUCUGCGGCACAUUAGCUAGUAGGUGAGGUAAAGGCUUACCUAGGCGACGAUGUGUAGCCGGUCUGAGAGGAUGAACGGCCACAAUGGAACUGAGACACGGUCCAUACUCCUACGGGAGGCAGCAGUGGGGAAUAUUGCACAAUGGGGGAAACCCUGAUGCAGCAACGCCGCGUGAGUGAAGAAGGUUUUCGGAUUGUAAAGCUCUGUUAGCAGGGAAGAGGAAGGACGGUACCUGCAGAGGAAGCCACGGCUAACUACGUGCCAGCAGCCGCGGUAAUACGUAGGUGGCAAGCGUUGUUCGGAAUAACUGGGCGUAAAGGAUGCGUAGGCGGUUAAACAAGUUAUAUGUUAAAUAUAUAGGCUUAACCUGUAGAAAGCAUAUAAAACUGUUUAACUAGAGUGCAGGAGAGGUAAGUGGAAUUCCUAGUGUAGCGGUGAAAUGCGUAGAGAUUAGGAAGAACACCAGUGGCGAAGGCGACUUACUGGACUGUAACUGACGCUGAGGCAUGAGAGCAUGGGGAGCAAACAGGAUUAGAUACCCUGGUAGUCCAUGCUGUAAACGAUGGGUACUA
This 743-nucleotide ribosomal RNA is filed under the name uncultured bacterium. RNAcentral describes it as "bacterial SSU rRNA". It matches the Rfam family "Bacterial small subunit ribosomal RNA", at positions 63 to 818 of the family's 1533-position model. The record is from RNAcentral.